RNAcentral lists this ribosomal RNA (439 nucleotides) under uncultured bacterium. RNAcentral's name for it is "partial 16S ribosomal RNA". It matches the Rfam family "Bacterial small subunit ribosomal RNA", at positions 339 to 795 of the family's 1533-position model. The record is from RNAcentral.
CUACGGGGGGCAGCAGUGGGGAAUCUUGGACAAUGGGCGCAAGCCUGAUCCAGCCAUGCCGCGUGAGUGAAGAAGGCCUUCGGGUUGUAAAGCUCUUUUGUCAGGGACGAUAAUGACGGUACCUGAAGAAUAAGCCCCGGCAAACUUCGUGCCAGCAGCCGCGGUAAUACGAAGGGGGCUAGCGUUGUUCGGAAUUACUGGGCGUAAAGCGCUCGUAGGCUGACAUUUAAGUCAGGGGUGAAAUCCCGAGGCUCAACCUCGGAACUGCCUUUGAUACUGGGUGUCUCGAGUCCGGAAGAGGUGAGUGGAAUUCCUAGUGUAGAGGUGAAAUUCGUAGAUAUUAGGAAGAACACCAGUGGCGAAGGCGGCUCACUGGUCCGGUACUGACGCUGAGGAGCGAAAGCGUGGGGAGCAAACAGGAUUAGAUACCCGUGUAGUC